UUGGGCCUGGAUGGCGCA
This 18-nucleotide unclassified non-coding RNA is filed under the name Chlamydomonas reinhardtii. Its description in RNAcentral is "small RNA Cre_4004". The record is from RNAcentral. Lineage: Eukaryota; Viridiplantae; Chlorophyta; Chlorophyceae; Chlamydomonadales; Chlamydomonadaceae.